RNAcentral lists this ribosomal RNA (356 nucleotides) under uncultured bacterium. Its description in RNAcentral is "bacterial SSU rRNA". It matches the Rfam family "Bacterial small subunit ribosomal RNA", at positions 1 to 334 of the family's 1533-position model. The record is from RNAcentral.
CUAGCGACUUCAGAGUUUGAUCCUGGCUCGAGGACGAACGCUGGCGGCGUGCCUAACACAUGCAAGUCGAACGGGAUUUAGUGGAAUGCGGCUUCGGCCAAAGGAAGCUAAGUUUAGUGGCGAACGGGUGAGUAACGCGUGAGGAACCUGCCUUUCAGUGGGGGACAACAGUUGGAAACGACUGCUAAUACCGCAUAACAUAUCUUGGGGGCAUCCCUGGGAUAUCAAAGCUUUAUGUGCUGAAAGAUGGCCUCGCGUCUGAUUAGAUAGUUGGUGGGGUAACGGCCUACCAAGUCAACGAUCAGUAGCCGGUCUGAGAGGAUGAACGGCCACAUUGGGACUGAGAUACGGCCCAG